CCUACGGGUGGCAGCAGUGGGGGAUAUUGCACAAUGGGCGGAAGCCUGAUGCAGCGACGCCGCGUGGGGGAAGAAGCGCCUCGGCGCGUAAAGCUCUGUCAGCAGGGAAGAAAAUGACGGUACCUGAAGAAGAAGCCCUGGCUAACAACGUGCCAGCAGCCGCGGGAAUACGUAGGGGGCAAGCGUUAACCGGAUUUACUGGGUGUAAAGGGGGCGGAGACGGCGUUGCAAGCCAGGAGUGAAAGCCCGGGGCCCAACCCCGGGACUGCUCUUGAAACUGCGUGGCUGGAGUGCAGGAGAGGCAAGCGGAAUUCCUGGUGUAGCGGUGAAAUGCGUAGAUAUCAGGAGGAACACCAGUGGCGAAGGCGGCCUGCUGGACUGCAACUGACGUUGAGGCCCGAAAGCGUGGGGAGCAAACAGGAUUAGAUACCCCUGUAGUC
Molecule: ribosomal RNA, 440 nt
Filed under: uncultured bacterium
Lineage: Bacteria
Description: partial 16S ribosomal RNA
Rfam family: Bacterial small subunit ribosomal RNA
Source: RNAcentral